RNAcentral lists this ribosomal RNA (252 nucleotides) under uncultured bacterium. Its description in RNAcentral is "partial 16S ribosomal RNA". It matches the Rfam family "Bacterial small subunit ribosomal RNA", at positions 16 to 258 of the family's 1533-position model. The record is from RNAcentral.
GANCUGGCUCAGGAUGAACGCUAGCUACAGGCUUAACACAUGCAAGUCGAGGGGCAUCAGUUUGGUUUGCUUGCAAACCAAAGCUGGCGACCGGCGCACGGGUGAGUAACACGUAUCCAACCUGCCUCAUACUCGGGGAUAGCCUUUCGAAAGAAAGAUUAAUAUCCGAUAGCAUAUAUUUCCCGCAUGGGUUUUAUAUUAAAGAAAUUCGGUAUGAGAUGGGGAUGCGUUCCAUUAGUUUGUUGGGGGGGG